RNAcentral lists this ribosomal RNA (253 nucleotides) under uncultured prokaryote. RNAcentral describes it as "partial 16S ribosomal RNA". It matches the Rfam family "Bacterial small subunit ribosomal RNA", at positions 525 to 777 of the family's 1533-position model. The record is from RNAcentral.
ACAGAGGGUGCGAACGUUGCUCGGAAUUACUGGGCGUAAAGCGCGUGUAGGCGGUCUGUUAAGUUGGUAGUGAAAUCCCAUGGCUCAACCAUGGAAGUGCUGCCAAAACUGGCAGGCUGGAGUACCGGAGAGGGUGGCGGAAUUCCCAGUGUAGAGGUGAAAUUCGUAGAUAUUGGGAGGAACACCGGUGGCGAAGGCGGCCGUCUGGACGAUGACUGACGCUGAGAUGCGAAAGCGUGGGGAGCAAACAGGA